UAGGUAUGAUAAUAUAUAAUAGUUAUGGCGUAGAAUGUCAUUUUUGUGGAAAAACUGGCUGAAAUGUGUUAUUGCUUACUUUAAGAUGAUUCCGAUGAAAGGAGUCUGCAUGUGUGUGUGUGUGUGUGUGUGUGUGUGUUUGAAACAGUAAAGCAAAAUGUUAGCAAUUGAUCUAA
This 176-nucleotide small RNA is filed under the name Marmota monax (woodchuck). The record is from RNAcentral. Lineage: Eukaryota; Metazoa; Chordata; Mammalia; Rodentia; Sciuridae.